UUGUUAACCACUCCUACUGUAACGCACAAGCCGAUGUACUGUAACUACAAGCCGAUCGAGUUUUGGGCGAGACUUUUUAUUUCUCUUGCCAAUUCCUAUCGUUCGUACUCCCACUAGUAUCUGAUAGCCGAGAAAAUCGACUAUAGCUUUCUGUCUUGUUUCUGUGCCGGCUUAUUGCUAUUUGUUCUUUUUAGCAUUUUAAUUUAUACAGAAGUCUAUAUAUGUAUAACAAGUCCCAGAUCUAAAUUUACCUGAAGAUCAUAUAUCAGAUACUAAAACAACUAUUUCCCAGAUUGCAUUCGAUCUCGGGCAGCGGGGAGGCUUAGCCAUGCCUUUAAAGCUGGUUCAUUUAGACAAUUUAAGUUGGGGUAGCCUGGCAAAAAAAUUUAAAAAGCCUUUGAAACACAAAUAUAGCUUAAGUUGCUUGGCAACUGUGGAUGUGCAGCAAGCUAAAUUUUGCAAUAAUCGAUGGUUGGUUUCCAGGACCUGGGAACUGGAAGAAAUUUGGUUGAAUGAACUAUAAAACAUUAAAGUUUAAUCAAACAUAUUUGUGGAGACAAAAGAUAUUGUUAUCUCCUAGCUGGUGUUGCACUGGCUAUGAUCGGACUACCACAGCAUAUAUACAUAAACAUAACGUCGUCACUACGCGUGUACCAGCAAAAGUAAGAGCGCUGCCUCUUAUACAAAAACUAAAGAGUCCGCAGUUCCUCAAUAAAAAAGAAAAGACAGAGACACCUAGCGGUUGGUAGGUAUACUCAAUUUCAUUCUGACCCUUCACUACAUACUGAGUAAGUAACGGGCACUUUUUAUUUUUAACUAAUGCUUUAAAUUUUAUAUAUAUUUAUUUUAUUUUAAGGUCAUUUAAAAUAAUUUAAUUUAUUAAAAGUAGGCACAAUUAUGCCAAAUCGUAUCUUCCCCAGUACAGGUGAAAAGGCAAAAUGCUUUAGCAUAGCUUUUUCAAACUUACCUCAUACGAAACAGGUUGUGUGUACAUACUUUUAUUUGUAUGUUAGCAUGUAUAUAAAUACGUAUUAGCGCACUUACGCCAACGCCAUUGUCAUUUUGUAGCCUGAGUGUUUGUAGUUCGGCCCGUUCCACGCAAUCUUGGUUCUCAGUUUAAAGUUCAUCACGUAAAUGUUUUAACAGUAUAUUUUAGGUUUCAGGUAGUAAAUACGAAUGAGCUGGCGACGAAAUGGCAGUAGUCGCAUUUUUUCGAUAUGUCUACUGCAUAGGGAGCAGCUUUGUUUUUCUAUUCCUGACUGUUUCACGAUUAUAUGGUUCACUUUUUAUCCUUAAAACUAAUUACAUGAAUUAUUUCCUACUACUCAGUAGCAUUACUGUUUCAGCAUUCUUUUCAGCAGCUUCGUUUUCUUUGACAGCCUGGAGGAGAAUGUAAAGAUGCGGCAGAUUUAGUUAGUUUAGCCGCUUGAGCUUGGAAAACGACAGUUGACUACUCCGCAGGCCGUUUGCCACUGACGCUAAUGGUCCGAAUAUGGGAGUACAUAUUCCUGUGAACUCUUUACAGCUUACCAAACACUUAUGAUUCAAGCUUUCAGAUACUCUGGCCUAGGACCAUUAUCAAUUGGCGUGCACGACAUUUCAUCAGCUUUUUACGUGUACGACUUUCCCAUGGAGGUGCCCCAACCUAGAAUCAGAUCCAAAGUGCAAACGUUCUGACCAGGGGGGUGAAUCAACAGGCGGCUGGCUCAAUAAAGACCCUUCCAGAGAAACGCAGAUACUGGAGAUGGGGUACUUUUUUAUUCAUAGCUGUUUUUUCAAUACUGUUUUUAUGUUCAUUCCCUUCUCAUAUAUUUCGUAUACAUUUUUUUUCGGUGUCCGAUUUUUUUUAUGUAUGGGCUGUCCAGUAUUAACACGUCUAAAACAGAGUACAAUUCUGACCCCAAUUAUGGUAUAAUAAACUUGCAGAUUUGGGGUGCGUUAAGAGUCGAAAUUCGUGGUAAAAAUCGAACGCAAUAAUGGAAUUUUUUAUAUAAUUUUUAUUAAUAUUAUAUUAUAUUUAAUGCGGACGAUUUUAGUUUAUUUUUCUAUUUUUGGUUUAACAUCAAAUCCUCCCUAAAUGCUUUUACUAAAUGGAAAUAAACAUAAAAUAUA
Long non-coding RNA from Drosophila sechellia, 2112 nucleotides. RefSeq lists it as uncharacterized. The transcript has 2 exons. The record is from RefSeq and is a predicted model, not a curated record. NCBI's taxonomy places the organism in Eukaryota, Metazoa, Arthropoda, Insecta, Diptera, Drosophilidae.